AUUGAACGCUGGCGGCAUGCCUUACACAUGCAAGUCGAACGGCAGCACGGGUGCUUGCACCUGGUGGCGAGUGGCGAACGGGUGAGUAAUACAUCGGAACGUACCUUAUCGUGGGGGAUAACGCAGCGAAAGCUGUGCUAAUACCGCAUACGCCCUGAGGGGGAAAGCGGGGGAUCGAAAGACCUCGCGCGAUUAGAGCGGCCGAUGCCUGAUUAGCUUGUUGGUGGGGUAAAAGCCCACCAAGGCGACGAUCAGUAGCUAGUCUGAGAGGACGAUCAGCCACACUGGGACUGAGACACGGCCCAGACUCCUACGGGAGGCAGCAGUGGGGAAUUUUGGACAAUGGGGGCAACCCUGAUCCAGCAAUGCCGCGUGAGUGAAGAAGGCCUUCGGGUUGUAAAGCUCUUUUGUCAGGGAAGAAACACCGGCUCAAACACAGUCCGGGAAUGACGGUACCUGAAGAAUAAGCACCGGCUAACUACGUGCCAGCCGCCGCAGUAA
This 501-nucleotide ribosomal RNA is filed under the name uncultured bacterium. Its description in RNAcentral is "partial 16S ribosomal RNA". It matches the Rfam family "Bacterial small subunit ribosomal RNA", at positions 29 to 523 of the family's 1533-position model. The record is from RNAcentral.